Long non-coding RNA from Saccostrea echinata, 1441 nucleotides. RefSeq lists it as uncharacterized. Lineage: Eukaryota; Metazoa; Mollusca; Bivalvia; Ostreida; Ostreidae. The transcript is spliced from 6 exons. The record is from RefSeq and is a predicted model, not a curated record.
AAAGUCUUGCAGAUUCAAGCUCGGUGAAGGGUGGGGCUACAUGUAGAUAUGGGAGCAGAUUUCACAUUAUACAGUAAGGCUAUGAGUAGUCUCCCCUGUUAAAGAUCAACAAUGGUGGAUAUACAAUGCGGGAUGCUGUGUAGUACAUACUACGUACAUCAUUAACAGAGUUUUGACACCUGUAUACCUGUAUUUCUACCAAUCACCUCUGUAACCUUUGUUGUAAUCGUCAGACAGAUGAUGGACCACUCUACAUUCUUUUAUAACAGAUUCCCCUACAGAUUCACAAAGUUCCAAUGUUGAAUUUCCAUGACCCCUAUUCAUCCAUGACAGAAAAAGGAAUAAAGUUGACAGGACUUUCAUCACUGCCCUUUAACUGGUAGCAGUUUAUGUUUAGACAGCAGAAGACAUAGCCAGUUUCAUCAAAGAUGCACCAGAUGCCUUGGCACUAUCUCCAUCACUGGUGAAAUGGGAAAUGACUAGUAGACCGUCAUCACUUAAUAUUUUUAACUCACCAAUGCAUAAUUUGAGGCCAAUCUCUUCUCAUCUCCGAUGGUGGUCUCCAGAGGAAUGGUUGCAGUGCAGUCUUCGUGUCCUGGGCCUUUCCUUCUCAGGUCUGUUGCACAUGGGUGGCUGAAGCUGGUUCAAUAUUUCCACCAAGAAGCAUACCAUGCAUACCCUCUGUAGUAAUGCUGGUACCCAAGUGACCGAUAGCCAUGGCCACAUUUAGCUGUGCAGCUCUUCAUCCCCUUCCAGAUCUCCUCACCUCUUCGUAAAGCUUUUCUCAUUGACUGGUGUAGUGGCACUUCUUACAUCGGAUAAAAGGAUCCAUGCCAGGCCUCGUUUUUCCUCCUAAUGUUGGUUCCAGUCCAGUGAACUGUCACAGUCUGGAAACUUCUUUAAUUGUUCUUUAAAUGCCUGAUUCCACAAUUUAGCAGUCUUCUCUUGGUGAAGGACUUUGUAUAGUUUUGAGUUUGGGUCAUCUGACACAGCUUCCAUGUAGGAGUCUACAGGCUGGAUUUCACUUAGCCCGGGUCACAAAAUCUUCAUCUCACUGCUUCGGCUCUCGGCAGAGUCUGACAUUUAUAUAUAUUUAUACAGACAUAUAGAGACAUUUUCAUUUUCUCGUUUUGGGCAUCUUAUUUAAGGCCUACAGUAUUAAUUUUGGACUCAUGUACUAGGAAUAUAUCUUUAGCAGAAUUGUCUUUUUUAGGUCACCUGAGUCGCUCAGGUGACCUAUUGCAAUCUGUUUUUGUUCGUCGUUGUGCGUUAACAUUUGAUCAUUUUUAGCUUCUUCUCUGAAACCACUUAACCAAUUUCAACCAAAUUUGGCAUAUAGCAUAUAUGGGUGAAGGGGAAAAAAUAUGAAUUUCAUGGUCCCUGCCCCCCUGGGGCCUGAGGGGUGGGGCUAAAACCACCAAAAUUAAUGCAAUCUUUAAAA